AGUGAACGCUGGCGGUAGGCCUAACACAUGCAAGUCGAACGGCAGCACAGAGGAGCUUGCUCCUUGGGUGGCGAGUGGCGGACGGGUGAGGAAUACAUCGGAAUCUACUCUGUCGUGGGGGAUAACGUAGGGAAACUUACGCUAAUACCGCAUACGACCUACGGGUGAAAGCAGGGGACCUUCGGGCCUUUCGCGAUCGAAUGAGCCGAUGUCGGAUUAGCUAGUUGGCGGGGUAAAGGCCCACCAAGGCGACGAUCCGUAGCUGGUCUGAGAGGAUGAUCAGCCACACUGGAACUGAGACACGGUCCAGACUCCUACGGGAGGCAGCAGUGGGGAAUAUUGGACAAUGGGCGCAAGCCUGAUCCAGCCAUACCGCGAGGGUGAAGAAGGCCUUCGGGUUGUAAAGCCCUUUUGUUGGGAAAGAAAUCCAGCUGGCUAAUACCCGGUUGGGAUGACGGUACCCAAAGAAUAAGCACCGGCUAACUACGUGCCAGCCGCCGCCGUAA
RNAcentral lists this ribosomal RNA (506 nucleotides) under uncultured bacterium. RNAcentral's name for it is "partial 16S ribosomal RNA". It matches the Rfam family "Bacterial small subunit ribosomal RNA", at positions 29 to 523 of the family's 1533-position model. The record is from RNAcentral.